This 572-nucleotide ribosomal RNA is filed under the name uncultured Gammaproteobacteria bacterium. Its description in RNAcentral is "bacterial SSU rRNA". It matches the Rfam family "Bacterial small subunit ribosomal RNA", at positions 1 to 580 of the family's 1533-position model. The record is from RNAcentral. Lineage: Bacteria; Pseudomonadati; Pseudomonadota; Gammaproteobacteria.
CCCUUUGAAANUCUAAGACCAUUGCUGGCGGCAUGCCUAACACAUGCAAGUCGAACGGUAACGCGAGAAGCUUGCUUCUUGGCGACGAGUGGCGGACGGGUGAGUAAUGCUUAGGAAUCUGCCCAGUAGUGGGGGACAACUCGAGGAAACUCGAGCUAAUACCGCAUACGCCCUACGGGGGAAAGCGGGGGAUCUUCGGACCUCGCGCUAUUGGAUGAGCCUAAGUCGGAUUAGCUUGUUGGUAGGGUAACGGCCUACCAAGGCGACGAUCCGUAGCUGGUCUGAGAGGACGAUCAGCCACACUGGGACUGAGACACGGCCCAGACUCCUACGGGAGGCAGCAGUGGGGAAUAUUGGACAAUGGGGGCAACCCUGAUCCAGCAAUGCCGCGUGUGAAGAAGGCCUGCGGGUUGUAAAGCACUUUCAGUAGAGAAGAAAAGCUUACGGUUAAUACCCGUGAGUCUUGACGUAACCUACAGAAGAAGCACCGGCUAACUCCGUGCCACAGCCGCGGUAAUACGGAGGGUGCGACCGUAAUCGGAAUUCUGGGCCUAAAGCCCCCCUAGGCCGUU